AGUGAACGCUGGCGGUAGGCCUAACACAUGCAAGUCGAACGGCAGCACAGUAAGAGCUUGCUCUUACGGGUGGCGAGUGGCGGACGGGUGAGGAAAACAUCCGAAUCUACUUUUUCGUGGGGGAUAACGUAGGGAAACUUACGCUAAUACCGCAUACGACCUACGGGUGAAAGCAGGGGAUCUUCGGACCUUGCGCGAUUGAAUGAGCCGAUGUCGGAUUAGCUAGUUGGCGGGGUAAAGGCCCACCAAGGCGACGAUCCGUAGCUGGUCUGAGAGGAUGAUCAGCCACACUGGAACUGAGACACGGUCCAGACACCUACGGGAGGCAGCAGUGGGGAAUAUUGGACAAUGGGCGCAAGCCUGAUCCAGCCAUACCGCGUGGGUGAAGAAGGCCUUCGGGUUGUAAAGCCCUUUUGUUGGGAAAGAAAAGCAGCAGGUUAAUACCCCGCUGUUCUGACGGUACCCAAAGAAUAAGCACCGGCUAACUUCGUG
This 492-nucleotide ribosomal RNA is filed under the name uncultured bacterium. RNAcentral describes it as "partial 16S ribosomal RNA". It matches the Rfam family "Bacterial small subunit ribosomal RNA", at positions 29 to 507 of the family's 1533-position model. The record is from RNAcentral.